Acromyrmex echinatior (Panamanian leafcutter ant) is the source of this 489-nucleotide long non-coding RNA. NCBI's taxonomy places the organism in Eukaryota, Metazoa, Arthropoda, Insecta, Hymenoptera, Formicidae. The record is from RefSeq and is a predicted model, not a curated record.
CCAAGAAGGAGGGAAGAAUGAGAUAGACGGAAUAGUAGACUACGAAUAAGAGUCCGAUAAUUACGAAUAAAUCCAUACUUAAUUACACUUAUCUACGGCAACAAAAUAACGAGAUAGAAACAUCUUAAUUUCUGAAGAGAAAAAUCAGAAUUAAAUAUGGACAAACUGGAGUCAUUAUUGGAUUUACUGGAUUUUGAGGACUUAGCAAUGAGAGACUGAUAUUACAACUACUCACGAAGUAUAGUCAUCAAUUACAUCACAGAUUCAAGAGAACUUUUAAAUCAAAAGCAGAACUCAAAUACAUUACUGUAUUUUUUUCUUUUUAUUUCUAAACAAAGAUUCCAUUCAUUGUAGAGACCCUCUAAUUAAAAGAAAAAGAUUAAAGAAUUGCGACAUGAAACGAUUUGAGUCGACUUUUGUAUGCAGAGUAGAAGUUUUAACAAAAUCGAUAACAGAGAGAGAAAUAUAUUAGUAAUCUUUAACCUUACG